Molecule: non-coding RNA, 31 nt
Filed under: Rattus norvegicus (Norway rat)
Lineage: Eukaryota; Metazoa; Chordata; Mammalia; Rodentia; Muridae
Source: RNAcentral
AAGCCACUGAUGCAGAGCGUUAAUUCUCACU